Molecule: long non-coding RNA, 381 nt
Filed under: Erythranthe guttata (spotted monkey flower)
Lineage: Eukaryota; Viridiplantae; Streptophyta; Magnoliopsida; Lamiales; Phrymaceae
Description: long non-coding RNA (EGUT_LNC000603)
Source: RNAcentral
UCCUACUAAAAUGCAUACUUAAACAUACAGGCACACACCUCAAAACAAACACAUCCCAGUUAAUUCCAAUUCCCACCUCAAUCAAAUAGCUAUUUAUUCCAAUUUCGAUUCUCAAAACUUUUAUUUCACAUAUUUGACCGUAAAAAUAUAGCCUAGAUUUCUUCAAAGUAAGUUACGUCAUAUACAAACACAAAAAAUUAAAAGUAAAGUAAAAUUGAGUUUCAGUACUUACCCUCUACAAAUUUGUUGAACGGCAGAAUGGAUGGCGGAUUGCACCAGUGGACGGCUAAGUGCAGCGGCAGUGGCGGCGAUUUGGAAGAGGGAGGAAGAGCGAGAGAAGAGGGACUUGGGUGGUGGCUCGGCUUUGUCUCAAUAGUUGUU